RNAcentral lists this long non-coding RNA (382 nucleotides) under Ananas comosus (pineapple). RNAcentral describes it as "long non-coding RNA (ACOM_LNC004181)". Lineage: Eukaryota; Viridiplantae; Streptophyta; Magnoliopsida; Poales; Bromeliaceae. The record is from RNAcentral.
CCUCGAACACGAAUUUCGGAUACACCUCGUCCUUCUCUGCCGCCGCCUUCUCUACCAGGUCGGGCGCCGGGAAGAUCACGGCGUCGCUCCCGGGGUUGUAGAAUGACGCGAUCGACAUCCGGUUGCCGUCGGUCUGGGCCACCACGCGGUGCAUUACGCUCUUGUAACUGCACGUAUGUUGAACGUACAUUCCUAAAAAAUACUGUUCUCUGACAACUUAAGUUAACUUUUAGGGACAGUCGGUAUAGAAUCUUUUAUACGAUACCUACCUGCCGUUGGUGAUCACCUCGAGCUGGUCUCCGAGGUUGACGACGAUAGAGUACGGGGUCGGGGGCACGUCGACCCACUCGCCGUCCUUGAGGAGCUGGAGACCGCUGACGCG